CCUACGGGAGGCAGCAGUGGGGAAUAUUGCACAAUGGGCGCAAGCCUGAUGCAGCGACGCCGCGUGAGGGAAGAAGUCUUUCGGUUUGUAAACCUCUAUUAGCAGGGAAGAAACUGACGGCACUAGAUGACGAAUCAGCCGCGACUUACGUCCCGGCAGCCGCGGCAGUACGUAGGUGGCAAGCGUUAUCCGGAGUUAUUGGGGGGUAUGGGGGCGUAGGCGGGGGUGUAGGUCUGGAGUGAAAGGCACGGGCGCAACCACCGGCCUGCUGUGGAAACUGUGGUACUGGAGUGCAGGAGAGGCAGGCGGAAUUCCUGGUGUAGCGGUGAAAUGCGUAGAUAUUAGGAGGAACACCAGUGGCGAAGGCGGCUCACUGGACAGUAACUGACGUUGAGGCACGAAAGCGUGGGGAGCAAACAGGAUUAGAUACCCUGGUAGUC
Molecule: ribosomal RNA, 440 nt
Filed under: uncultured bacterium
Lineage: Bacteria
Description: partial 16S ribosomal RNA
Rfam family: Bacterial small subunit ribosomal RNA
Source: RNAcentral